CAUGUCUUUAAGCUGAGGAGCGAGUGGAUCAGAGAGCAGCUGACCUCACAGAGCCAUGGUUCAGUGACUCAUUCAGACAUGUCCUUGAGUAGUUGUUCUGGAUUUCCUCGAUGGUAGCAAGGUGAACUCAUGAGGUGCUGGUCCAGAAAAGAACACGAGUGACUAUGCCCAUUGUCACUGCUCAGAAGUGUUCUGGAAUCUUGUUUCCCGCCCUGAAAUAAGUUGAUGGCAGUUAUGGCAUGGGCUGAUCUACCCAGUCAGCAAGGCCAGAUUGCAGAGAAACUCAGAGUCUAGGAAAAUGAAUGUCUAGGAACAUUCCUCAAAUAGUCCUACCAGAAGACACAAAGAUGAUGCAUCCGGAUGAAGAAUAUAUCACUGAGAUUAAUGGCCCUGGGUUGCAGCCAAAAGCAUCUCAGAGGUAGAACACUGUUGCAGAUGGUGAUGUUACCAUUUGAAAGUAAGAAGAAAACUAGUAUCUCUUUACACC
This 487-nucleotide long non-coding RNA is filed under the name Homo sapiens (human). RNAcentral describes it as "non-protein coding LINC02272:7". The record is from RNAcentral. Lineage: Eukaryota; Metazoa; Chordata; Mammalia; Primates; Hominidae.